AUCUUCGUUCCCUGCAGAACCUUGACAGUUGGACAAGUGACCUCCUCUAGAACAGAUGGAAAGUCUCCAGAAGCAGAGGAUUUAGUGAACGAAAUUCGCAAUAAUCAGCUCCAGAUCCUGAAAAGGAGGGCGAAGAAUCAGUGGCCAAAGCUAACCGCUUCAUACCCACACUUCAUCCUCCUGUUUCUCUCCAGGCCACCAUGUCUGCAGGCAACGGCACCCCUUGGGGAUGCCACCUGGAAUGUCACUGUUCAAUGGCUGGCUGUGGACAUCGCAUGUCGGACACUCAUGUUCCUGAAACUAAUGGCCAUGUAUUCUGCAGCUUUCCUGCCUGUGAUCAUUGGACUGGACCGCCAGGCAGCAGUACUCAACCCGCUUGGAUCCCGUUCAGGUGUAAGGAAACUUCUGGGGGCAGCCUGGGGACUUAGUUUCCUGCUUGCCUUGCCCCAGGCCUUUUAAAAGCA
This 464-nucleotide small RNA is filed under the name Pongo abelii (Sumatran orangutan). RNAcentral describes it as "processed transcript". The record is from RNAcentral. Lineage: Eukaryota; Metazoa; Chordata; Mammalia; Primates; Hominidae.